This is an RNA transcript of Apis mellifera (honey bee), 1170 nucleotides long. RefSeq lists it as uncharacterized. The transcript is spliced from 3 exons. The record is from RefSeq and is a predicted model, not a curated record. Lineage: Eukaryota; Metazoa; Arthropoda; Insecta; Hymenoptera; Apidae.
UUAACAUAAGUAUUCCGGUAGAUGGUGUGGCAAUCGUAUCAUGUUAUUCUGUCCUCGGUAGCUUUUUCCCCCCACUAUUACUCUCAAAUGAGAAUGUGAUGUCAUGUACUGAAAAUUUAGAGCCUUGUCUGGCAAAGCUGUGUAUUAUAUCUUCAACGCAAAACACAAACAUAAUCUCAUCUCGAUUGUCAUUUGAAACGGGAUUAAGUAACAGUGAAGACUUAUGGGUGCAAAUAAAGCUUCAAACUGAGACACAAUUAUCUGCAGACAUGUGUCCAAUAAACAAUUUGCAUAAUCCGCAAAUAACGAAAGACAAAAUAGUCCGUGAACGAUCCACAGAGUUGAACACGCGAGAUAUCUCGUCCAAGACGUCACACGGGGGACAUCGAUCGCCAGAUAUCUCAUCUACAGCAUCGCACGAGGGAAAUUGGGUCGCGAGAUAUCUCGCAAAGAGGUUAAUCGAUGUUUAUCCUUCCUCUAUGCGAGCUUUGAGCAAACGUAAUCGGUUUCGAAUUCGGAAGAAUUUCGUUCGUACGAUCAGAUUCUACAUAAAACAGUGGCAGAAUACAAGAGGAAAUUGAGAUACGUAUAAUAUUUAAUUAAUUACACUUAGAAUUUCGCAAAGUAUAUAGACAAGCGUGUACAUCAUAUUAUUGGUUUAACGUUAAGGACAUAUACCUCUAUGUUUACACGUAAUCACCGAAACCGAUCGAUACAUCCUAAUACAUUGCGUGGCUUAGGUAAAUAUACAACGAGAGUCAAAAGUCUAUAAGGAAAUCUACGGUAGAAUCCCUUCUGCAGCAAUCACACGUGGAUUAUCUCGUUAAUAGCAUUCGAACGAGGGGAAUGGGAAUUGAACAAAGAUUUCGACUUUAUCCCCCGUUUUCAUUACCGCACUGGCCAAAAAUACUAAUAAAAGAGAAGCCCCUGGGUACGAUAAUAUUACAACGGAGAUGUUAAAAAAGAAGGAGAGUUAAAAAAAACUCCAGGGGAAAAGUCUUUUGUUAUUCUACAUUUUUAAAACAUUUCCCCUUCUCUAAAAAAGCUAGCAGAAAUUUCUGGAAUUCGAGAGUUCCAAAUAGAUAAUUUAUUAUAGAUUAUAUAUUUAUAAUCUGAAGCAUAUAAUCUGUCAUUGGAAAAUUAUUCGAAGAAUAUUUGCAAAUGAUAAAA